Molecule: ribosomal RNA, 812 nt
Filed under: uncultured bacterium
Lineage: Bacteria
Description: bacterial SSU rRNA
Rfam family: Bacterial small subunit ribosomal RNA
Source: RNAcentral
UCUGACUNGAGUGCAGAAGGGGAGAGUGGAAUNCCAUGUGUAGCGGUGAAAUGCGUAGAUAUAUGGAGGAACACCAGUGGCGAAAGCGGCUCUCUGGUCUGUCACUGACGCUGAGGCUCGAAAGCGUGGGUAGCGAACAGGAUUAGAUACCCUGGUAGUNCACGCCGUAAACGAUGAGUGCUAGGUGUUAGGCCCUUUCCGGGGCUUAGUGCCGGAGCUAACGCAAUAAGCACUCCGCCUGGGGAGUACGACCGCAAGGUUGAAACUCAAAGGAAUUGACGGGGGCCCGCACAAGCGGUGGAGCAUGUGGUUUAAUUCGAAGCAACGCGAAGAACCUUACCAGGUCUUGACAUCCCGAUGCUAUUCUUAGAGAUAGGAAGUUACUUCGGUACAUCGGAGACAGGUGGUGCAUGGUUGUCGUCAGCUCGUGUCGUGAGAUGUUGGGUUAAGUCCCGCAACGAGCGCAACCCUUAUUGUUAGUUGCCAUCAUUAAGUUGGGCACUCUAGCGAGACUGCCGGUAAUAAACCGGAGGAAGGUGGGGAUGACGUCAAAUCAUCAUGCCCCUUAUGACCUGGGCUACACACGUGCUACAAUGGUCGGUACAACGAGUUGCGAGCCGGUGACGGCAAGCUAAUCUCUGAAAGCCGAUCUCAGUUCGGAUUGGAGGCUGCAACUCGCCUCCAUGAAGUCGGAAUCGCUAGUAAUCGCGGAUCAGCACGCCGCGGUGAAUACGUUCCCGGGCCUUGUACACACCGCCCGUCACACCACGAGAGUUUGUAACACCCGAAGUCGGUGAGGUANCCUUUUAGGG